This 72-nucleotide transfer RNA is filed under the name Camelus bactrianus (Bactrian camel). It matches the Rfam family "tRNA". From Rfam's summary of the family: Transfer RNA (tRNA) molecules are approximately 80 nucleotides in length. Their secondary structure includes four short double-helical elements and three loops (D, anti-codon, and T loops). The record is from Rfam by way of RNAcentral. Lineage: Eukaryota; Metazoa; Chordata; Mammalia; Artiodactyla; Camelidae. RNAcentral also lists the same sequence under 2 other names.
GAGGGUAAAGCUCUGUAGUAGAGCGCAAGUUUAGUGUCCAUGAGGUCCUGGGUUCAAUCCCCAGUCCCUCCA